AGAGAAACCAAGAAAGAACAAACCCUAGGUGGGGACAAUCAAAGAGAAAGUGUUGGAAUUCAAAGAUUUGAUCAAGCAAAGGUACAAUUUCUUUGAUUUUGCUAAUGAUUUACCUUACCCAUGCAUUUCUCCUUAAUUUCCAUGGUUGGAUUGUAUGUUUUAAUGGGGAAAUCAUGGCUGGCCGAAUGGGUUUGGUGAGAGAAAUGAUGUUGGAAUUGUUUGAUUUUGAGUUAUGUUGGUGUUUAGAGUUAGUUAAGCAUGUUUAGAAACAAAACAACAAGAAAAGAAUCCAUUUUCCCCAUGAACCUUCAAUGGCCGAACCCUAUGUGAAAUGUAAAAGUAAUGAAUUGAUUUUGUGAUCAAGUGAAUUGGUUGAAAAAUUGAUGAAAUGAUGAUUUAUGCUGAGAAAAUGGAAUGGGAAAAUUUUUAGUGAUAGUGCACCACAAUGACUAAAAUUUUCAAGAAGAAUUGUGAGGGUUGUUAGGCUGAAUUUUAGAUUAUUGGAAUUGUAUUUAGUGAAUUGAAAUAUUAGAAAUGAAAUGGAGCAAUUUGGAGCCAAAUCGGAACAAUUGUCAUUUAAUCGAGUAAUAAGCCGAAUUAAAUCAGCACCGCAUUUAAGCGGUAGUCGGAUAAGUUGCAUAUCAUAUCAUGCAUAUACACCGAGCCUGAAUUGAUUUUAUAAUGGUCAAGCAUUAAUGUGGUGAAUUAUGUAUUGUACAUUGUAGAUAAGUGGUGAGCAAAUUACACUGGUAAAAGUACAAAGAUUGUGCUUGAAGACUGGAAUUAGGAGUACAUCGACUCCUAGAACUGUGAGUGGACAAUUUAUCGUCUUAAAUAUCUAGAGUAAUUAUACUUGUUUGAUGCUUUUAUUGAAUGGUGAGUUUAAAUUAUAAAAUAUUAUGUUUUUCAAUUAAAAUAUUUUUUUUAAAUGAGAUUUAUAUUGGUUUUGAAAUCAAAUAUUGUUUUGAAAAAAUUGAGUAUAUGGAGACUGUGUUGAAAUUUAUGAUUUUAUAUGUCAUUGAAAUUGUGGCUUAUGACAUUAUGGUGGCAUGAUGGCUAAAUUUUUGGGGUUGGCAUGAAAUAUAUGAACAGUUUUGGAUUGGUCUUGGUAGACUGGAUUACAUUUUAUUCGUCAUAUUAUGCUACUGAAAAUUUUAUGGGUCUGGUGGUAUAUUAAACGGUCACUGCAGUGGUGGGGGUUUCCGUGGACUGCCUAUGAGAGGGGCACGGUAACCUAAAUAUAUAUUUACCUCCGAGGGGAGAUGUUAGAUGAAGUAUAUCCUGAGGUAAGAUUUGAGUGCACCUCACGUUCGAGCCACCACGUGAGAGUGAGACUCAGCCAACACCAAGGAACGGCUGUAUCAGAUGUGAAAACAUGUUUAUGGAUAUGGACAUUUAACAGCUUUGGCGGUCUCAGUGGGAUACCUUGAUAAAGGUACCCGCGAGAAUGAUUCUGGUAGGGGCCAAGUUUAAGAAAUUCAUAAGCUGGAAAAUUUUGAUGAAAAGAAAUUGUUUGGUAUAGAUUGAAACGAAUUUUGCGUUAUGAACAUUAUUGAGAUAUAACGUUUUUAUAUUAUUUCCAUCUACUCGGUUUUAGAUGCUUUUGAUGGUAAUUGUUUACUCACUGGGAUUAUGUAAUCUCACCCCUCUUCCUAUCCAUUUUUCAGGCUCAGAACAGUUUGUUGAUAGUUGAUUAAGACGAGAAUUAAUCUCGGAGUUGCAUCAUAGAAAGUAAGGGUUCGUAACCCUACACCUUCUUGCUUAGUUGGGGGCCCACGUGUCACUGUAAACGUAAUUUUAUAUUUCAGUUAUCUGAUUUAAAGUAUGAAUGAACAUAUUUAGCUUUUACACAAUGUUUUUGACGGGUUUCG
This 1871-nucleotide long non-coding RNA is filed under the name Theobroma cacao (cacao). Its description in RNAcentral is "long non-coding RNA (TCAC_LNC004378)". The record is from RNAcentral. Lineage: Eukaryota; Viridiplantae; Streptophyta; Magnoliopsida; Malvales; Malvaceae.